RNAcentral lists this long non-coding RNA (246 nucleotides) under Phasianus colchicus (ring-necked pheasant). RNAcentral's name for it is "lncRNA (ENSPCLG00000016072.1)". Lineage: Eukaryota; Metazoa; Chordata; Aves; Galliformes; Phasianidae. The record is from RNAcentral.
GUUUCUUUCUGGACUCUUCAAGCAAAAUAAACAAAAUAUUCACUUCGAUCUUCUGACACGCACUGAAGGGCACAGUCAGAUUGCUUAAGACAUGUUUAUCCCCUACAUGGAGGAGAACUUGUGCAUUCUGUUGCUGAAAGUUGGCUGCUGGACAGCAAAUGCGCUCUUGUCUAGUAAAUGUGUCUGACUUCCAUGCACUACAGACCACUUUUCCUGUAAGUCUACAUGUUACAGCUAACAAUCAGC